GGAUUAUUAUUUGUGUUAUUUGAUUUAAGGCUUUUAAAAGCCAGAAUUGUAAUUAAUUCCUCUUAGGCGCCCCCUCAUCCUUAAUCUCUUUCUAGUUACGCUCUAUUCCUUUUUUCCUCAUUUUCUUUACAUGGUUUAAUUUCCUGCAUUAGGUUUUCACCUCACAUGCUUAAACAACUAAAAUCAAUUUAGUAUUUUGUAUGUGGUAGGCUCCAAUGCUCAAUUUGAAGCAAGUUAAAUUUAUUAGUAUAAUCCUGCUAUCCCUUAUGCUUAUGUUGAGCUCAAAUACUAAAUAAAAUGACUUUUAGAUUUAUGAAAUAAAAUUAGACAUUAAUUUGGUUAGUAUCACAUGUUAAGAAAAACUUAAGGUAUUAAAGUAUCUCCC
RNAcentral lists this long non-coding RNA (385 nucleotides) under Ricinus communis (castor bean). RNAcentral's name for it is "long non-coding RNA (RCOM_LNC002916)". Lineage: Eukaryota; Viridiplantae; Streptophyta; Magnoliopsida; Malpighiales; Euphorbiaceae. The record is from RNAcentral.